This 152-nucleotide ribosomal RNA is filed under the name Vibrio fluvialis. RNAcentral's name for it is "partial 16S ribosomal RNA". It matches the Rfam family "Bacterial small subunit ribosomal RNA", at positions 1 to 134 of the family's 1533-position model. The record is from RNAcentral. Lineage: Bacteria; Pseudomonadati; Pseudomonadota; Gammaproteobacteria; Vibrionales; Vibrionaceae.
UUAAUUGAAGAGUUUGAUCAUGGCUCAGAUUGAACGCUGGCGGCAGGCCUAACACAUGCAAGUCGAGCGGCAGCGACAACAUUGAACCUUCGGGGGAUUUGUUGGGCGGCGAGCGGCGGACGGGUGAGUAAUGCCUGGGAAAUUGCCCUGAU